Molecule: ribosomal RNA, 492 nt
Filed under: uncultured bacterium
Lineage: Bacteria
Description: bacterial SSU rRNA
Rfam family: Bacterial small subunit ribosomal RNA
Source: RNAcentral
GAUCAUGGCUCAGGAUGAACGCUGGCGGCGUGCUUAACACAUGCAAGUCGAACGGAGACAAGAGAAGCUUGCUUUUCUUAUCUUAGUGGCGGACGGGUGAGUAACGCGUGGGUAACCUACCCUGUACAGGGGGAUAGCAGUUGGAAACGACUGAUAAAACCGCAUAAAACGGCAGUACCGCAUGGUACAACCGUCAAAUAUUCAUAGGUACAGGAUGGGCCCGCGUCUGAUUAGCUAGUUGGUGGGGCAACGGCCUACCAAGGCGACGAUCAGUAGCCGGCCUGAGAGGGUGAACGGCCACAUUGGGACUGAGACACGGCCCAAACUCCUACGGGAGGCAGCAGUGGGGAAUAUUGGACAAUGGGGGAAACCCUGAUCCAGCGAACCGCCGCGUGAGUGAAGAAGUAUUUCGGUAUGUAAAGCUCUAUCAGCAGGGAAGAUGAUGACGGUACCUGACUAAGAAGCACCGGCUAAAUACGUGCCAGCCGCGGC